This 253-nucleotide ribosomal RNA is filed under the name uncultured bacterium. RNAcentral's name for it is "partial 16S ribosomal RNA". It matches the Rfam family "Bacterial small subunit ribosomal RNA", at positions 524 to 776 of the family's 1533-position model. The record is from RNAcentral.
UACAUAGGUCGCGAGCGUUGUUCGGAUUCAUUGGGCGUAAAGGGUGCGUAGGUGGCGCUGUAAGUGGGGUGUGAAAUCCCGGGGCUUAACCCCGGGACUGCAUUCCAUACUGCGGUGCUUGAGGACUGGAGAGGAGACUGGAAUUUACGGUGUAGCAGUGAAAUGCGUAGAGAUCGUAAGGAAGACCAGUGGCGAAGGCGGGUCUCUGGACAGUUCCUGACACUGAGGCACGAAGGCCAGGGGAGCAAACGGG